RNAcentral lists this ribosomal RNA (496 nucleotides) under uncultured bacterium. Its description in RNAcentral is "partial 16S ribosomal RNA". It matches the Rfam family "Bacterial small subunit ribosomal RNA", at positions 28 to 506 of the family's 1533-position model. The record is from RNAcentral.
GAUGAACGCUGGCGGCGUGCCUAAUACAUGCAAGUCGAGCGAACGGACGAGAAGCUUGCUUCUCUGAUGUUAGCGGCGGACGGGUGAGUAACACGUGGAUAACCUACCUAUAAGACUGGGAUAACUUCGGGAAACCGGAGCUAAUACCGGAUAAUAUUUUGAACCGCAUGGUUCAAAAGUGAAAGACGGUCUUGCUGUCACUUAUAGAUGGAUCCGCGCUGCAUUAGCUAGUUGGUAAGGUAACGGCUUACCAAGGCAACGAUGCAUAGCCGACCUGAGAGGGGGAUCGGCCACACGGGAACUGAGACACGGUCCAGACUCCUACGGGAGGCAGCAGGAGGGAAUCUGCCGCAAUGGGCGAAAGCCUGACGGAGCAACGCCGCGUGAGUGAUGAAGGUCUUCGGAUCGUAAAACUUUGUUAUUAGGGAAGAACAUAUGUGUAAGUAACUGUGCACAUCUGGACGGUACCUAAGCAGAAAGCCACGGCUAACCACGU